RNAcentral lists this ribosomal RNA (983 nucleotides) under uncultured Gammaproteobacteria bacterium. RNAcentral describes it as "bacterial SSU rRNA". It matches the Rfam family "Bacterial small subunit ribosomal RNA", at positions 9 to 978 of the family's 1533-position model. The record is from RNAcentral. Lineage: Bacteria; Pseudomonadati; Pseudomonadota; Gammaproteobacteria.
GAGUUUGAUUAUGGCUCAGAUUGAACGCUGGCGGCAGGCCUAACACAUGCAAGUCGAGCGGUAACAUUUCUAGCUUGCUGGAAGAUGACGAGCGGCGGACGGGUGCGUAACACGUAGGAAUCUACCCAGUAGCGGGGGAUAGCCCGGAGAAAUCCGGAUUAAUACCGCAUACGCCCUACGGGGGAAAGCAGGGGCUCGCUCUUUCGAGAGUGACCUUGCGCUAUUGGAUGAGCCUGCGUCGGAUUAGCUUGUUGGUGGGGUAAUGGCCUACCAAGGCAACGAUCCGUAGCUGAUCUGAGAGGAUGAUCAGCCACACUGGGACUGAGACACGGCCCAGACUCCUACGGGAGGCAGCAGUGGGGAAUAUUGCACAAUGGGCGAAAGCCUGAUGCAGCCAUGCCGCGUGUGUGAAGAAGGCUCUAGGGUUGUAAAGCACUUUCAGCGAGGAGGAAAGGUUAAAGAUUAAUACUCUUUAGCUGUGACGGUACUCGCAGAAGAAGCACCGGCUAACUCCGUGCCAGCAGCCGCGGUAAUACGGAGGGUGCGAGCGUUAAUCGGAAUUACUGGGCGUAAAGCGUGCGUAGGCGGCUGUCUAAGUUGGGUGUGAAAGCCCCGGGCUCAACCUGGGAACUGCAUCCAAAACUGGAUAGCUAGAGUGCGGAAGAGGAGUGUGGAAUUUCCUGUGUAGCGGUGAAAUGCGUAGAUAUAGGAAGGAACACCAGUGGCGAAGGCGACACUCUGGUCUGACACUGACGCUGAGGUACGAAAGCGUGGGGAGCAAACAGGAUUAGAUACCCUGGUAGUCCACGCCGUAAACGAUGUCUACUAGUUGUCGGGACUCUUGCAGUCUUGGUAACGCAGCUAACGCGAUAAGUAGACCGCCUGGGGAGUACGGCCGCAAGGUUAAACUCAAAUGAAUUGACGGGGCCCGCACAGCGGUGGAGCAUGUGGUUUAUUCGAAGCACGCGAAGAACCUUACCUGG